This 340-nucleotide ribosomal RNA is filed under the name uncultured Pseudomonadota bacterium. RNAcentral's name for it is "bacterial SSU rRNA". It matches the Rfam family "Bacterial small subunit ribosomal RNA", at positions 29 to 351 of the family's 1533-position model. Lineage: Bacteria; Pseudomonadati; Pseudomonadota. The record is from RNAcentral.
AACAAACGCUGGCGGCGUGCCUAACACAUGCAAGUCGCACGAGAAAGUCCGCUUCGGUGGGCAAGUAAAGUGGCGCACGGGUGAGUAACGCGUGGAUAAUCUACCCUUAAGUUUGGAAUAACUCAUCGAAAGGUGGGCUAAUACCGAAUGAUACUGCAUAACUACUGUUGUGCAGUCAAAGAAGGCCUCUGUUUACAAGCUUUUUGCUUAAGGAUGAGUCCGCGUACCAUUAGCUAGUUGGUAGGGUAAUGGCCUACCAAGGCUACGAUGGUUAGCUGGUCUGAGAGGAUGAUCAGCCACACUGGAACUGAGACACGGUCCAGACACCUACGGGUGGCUG